Sciurus carolinensis (gray squirrel) is the source of this 342-nucleotide long non-coding RNA. RefSeq lists it as uncharacterized. The transcript has 3 exons. Lineage: Eukaryota; Metazoa; Chordata; Mammalia; Rodentia; Sciuridae. The record is from RefSeq and is a predicted model, not a curated record.
ACUCUUCAUCCACCCAGAUGCCAUGGACCUGGGGCGCCGGGACCCCUGCUGAAGGAUCCACUCCUGCAGGCACCCCUAGAGUUCAAGGCUGUCAGGCUGGACAGGCCUUGAGCAGAGACUCUCUGGGGUUUUCAAAGAAAAAGCCUGAACACAGGAGCCUUCCGGCCGUCUCUGAGAGGAGGUGCCGAGACCCAUCUUGUACUAGUGGGUGGACGUGUCUUGAAGGUGCUCUGGUCCUGCCUGAGACCCAGCUCCAUGGCCAUUCAUGGUGAAGCUUUUUCUCCACACUCCACUCCUGUGUGGCUGUGGAAAGCUCUCCCGCCAACUCCUGGGACAGUUGUG